UGUCGUCAGCUCGUGUCGUGAGAUGUUGGGUUAAGUCCCGCAACGAGCGCAACCCUUGUUACAUGUUACCAGCAUUUAGUUGGGGACUCAUGUGAGACUGCCGGCGUUAAGCCGGAGGAAGGUGGGGACGACGUCAAGUCAUCAUGCCCCUUAUGUCCUGGGCUGCACACGUGCUACAAUGGUUGGUACAGAGGGUUGCUAACCCGCGAGGGCAAGCGAAUCCCCCAAAGCCAGCCUUAGUUCGGAUUGCAGGCUGAAACCCGCCUGCAUGAAGUCGGAGUUGCUAGUAAUCGCGAAUCAGCACGUCGCGGUGAAUGCGUUCCCGGGUCUUGUACACACCGCCCGUCACACCACCCGAGUCGUCUGCACCCGAAGUCGUCAUACUGAACCCUUUUGGGACAGUGGUGCCGAAGGUGUGGAGGGUAAGGGGGGUGAAGUCGUAACAAGGUAGCCGUACCGGAAGGUGCGGCUGGAUCACCUCCUUU
RNAcentral lists this ribosomal RNA (485 nucleotides) under Coriobacteriia bacterium. RNAcentral describes it as "bacterial SSU rRNA". It matches the Rfam family "Bacterial small subunit ribosomal RNA", at positions 1050 to 1533 of the family's 1533-position model. RNAcentral also lists the same sequence under 1 other name. Lineage: Bacteria; Bacillati; Actinomycetota; Coriobacteriia. The record is from RNAcentral.